RNAcentral lists this ribosomal RNA (253 nucleotides) under uncultured bacterium. Its description in RNAcentral is "partial 16S ribosomal RNA". It matches the Rfam family "Bacterial small subunit ribosomal RNA", at positions 524 to 776 of the family's 1533-position model. The record is from RNAcentral.
UACGAAGGUGGCUAGCGUUACUCGGAAUGACUAGGUGUAAAGCGCAGGUAGGUGGUGAGGAAAGUCUGCAAUGGAAUCUCUCGGCUUAACCGGGAGGGGUUUGUGGAAACUUCUUUGCUUGAGUGUGGGAGAGGAUGCUGGAAUUCCAGGUGUAGCGGUGAAAUGCGUAGAUAUCUGGAGGAACACCAAUGGCGAAAGCAGGCAUCUGGCCCAAUACUGACACUGAGCUGCGAAAGCUAGGGGAGCAAACAGG